AACAGUGGGGAAUAUUGCACAAUGGGGGAAACCCUGAUGCAGCCAUGCCGCGUGUGUGAAGAAGGCCUUCGGGUUGUAAAGCACUUUCAGUAGGGAGGAAGGUAGUGUAGUUAACACCUGCAUUAUUUGACGUUACCUACAGAAGAAGCACCGGCUAACUCCGUGCCAGCAGCCGCGGUAAUACGGAGGGUGCGAGCGUUAAUCGGAAUUACUGGGCGUAAAGCGCAUGCAGGCGGCCUGUUAAGUCAGAUGUGAAAGCCCGGGGCUUAACCUCGGAAUUGCAUUUGAAACUGGCAGGCUAGAGUCUUGUAGAGGGGGUAGAAUUUCAGGUGUAGCGGUGAAAUGCGUAGAGAUCUGAAGGAAUACCAGUGGCGAAGGCGGCCCCCUGGACAAAGACUGACGCUCAGAUGCGAAAGCGUGGGGAGCAAACAGGAUUAGAUACCCUGGUAA
Molecule: ribosomal RNA, 450 nt
Filed under: uncultured bacterium
Lineage: Bacteria
Description: bacterial SSU rRNA
Rfam family: Bacterial small subunit ribosomal RNA
Source: RNAcentral